This 1378-nucleotide ribosomal RNA is filed under the name uncultured bacterium. Its description in RNAcentral is "16S ribosomal RNA". It matches the Rfam family "Bacterial small subunit ribosomal RNA". The record is from RNAcentral.
AAGAGUUUGAUCCUGGCUCAGGAUGAACGCUGGCGGCGUGCCUAACACAUGCAAGUCGAGCGCGAUUAGACGGACUGGAGACUUCGGUCAAAGGGAAGACUAUGAAAGCGGCGGACCUGCCCUGUACAGGGGGAUAACACUCGGAAACGAGUGCUAAUACCGCAUAAGACCACGACAUGGCAUCAUGACGAGGUCAAAGGAGCAAUCCGCUGAGAGAGGGGCUCGCGUCCCAUUAGAUAGAUGGCGGGGUAACGGCCCACCAUGUCAACGAUGGGUAGCCGAGCUGAGAGGCUGAUCGGCCACACUGGAACUGAGACACGGUCCAGACUCCUACGGGAGGCAGCAGUGGGGAAUAUUGGGCAAUGGGCGCAAGCCUGAUGCAGCAACGCCGCGUGAGUGAUGAAGGCCUUCGGGUCGUAAAACUCUGUCCUAAGGGAAGAAGAAGUGACGGUACCUUAGGAGGAAGCCCCGGCUAACUACGUGCCAGCAGCCGCGGUAAUACGUAGGGGGCAAGCGUUAUCCGGAAUCACUGGGCGUAAAGGGUGCGUAGGUGGCCUUUUAAGUUGGAUGUGAAAUACCCGGGCUUAACCUGGGGGGUGCAUCUAAUACUGGGAGGCUAGAGUGCAGGAGAGGAAAGCGGAAUUCCUAGUGUAGCGGUGAAAUGCGUAGAUAUUAGGAGGAACACCCGUGGCGAAGGCGGCUUUCUGGACUGUAACUGACGCUGAGGCACGAAAGCGUGGGGAGCAAACAGGAUUAGAUACCCUGGUAGUCCACGCGGUAAACGAUGAAUACUAGGUGUUGGAGAAAUUCAGUGCUGCAGUUAGCCAAGCGAAAGCGAUAAGUUAUCCACCUGGGGAGUACGAUCGCAAGGUUGAAACUCAAAGGAAUUGACGGGGGCCCGCACAAGCGGAGGAACAUGUGGUUUAAUUCGAUGAUACGCGAGGAACCUUACCUGGGCUUGAGACAUCCCUCUGAAUGGCGCUUAGCAGCGCAGGUCUUUCGGGACAGAGGAGACAGGUGGUGCAUGGUUGUCGUCAGCUCGUGUCGUGAGAUGUUGGGUUAAGUCCCGCAACGAGCGCAACCCUUGUCAUUAGUUGCCAGCAGUUCGGCUGGGCACUCUAGCAGAACUGCCGUUGACAAAACGGAGGAAGGUGGGGAUGACGUCAAAUCAUCAUGCCCCUUAUGUCUUGGGCUACACACGUACUACAAUGGCCUGAACAGAGGGAAGCGAAACUGCGAAGUUAAGCGAACCCCUUAAAACAGGUCCCAGUUCGGAUUGUAGGCUGCAACUCGCCUACAUGAAGUUGGAAUCGCUAGUAAUCGCAGGUCAGCAUACUGCGGUGAAUACGUUCCCGGGCCUUGUACACACCGCCCGUCA